Molecule: unclassified non-coding RNA, 220 nt
Filed under: plant metagenome
Description: partial contains small subunit ribosomal RNA, internal transcribed spacer 1, and 5.8S ribosomal RNA
Source: RNAcentral
GUAGGUGAACCUGCGGAAGGAUCAUUAGUGGAUUGAAUAUGUUAGCGGACCUCUUCGGAGUCCCUAGCAUCAAAUCAUAUCCAUAACACCUGUGAACUGUAAGGCUGUCUUGAAAACGAAAGUGAUUAGAGCGCCUGCCCAUUUUAUACAAACAUUAAAGUAGCAAACGUAGUCUUACUAUAAUCUAAUAAAACUUUCAACAACGGAUCUCUUGGCUCUC